UGUUCUUCAGUUUAAAAUCUUUCAGUAGUAAAGUCCAGACUCCCUCAUUCGAUUAUUAGGCUCCGAAUGACGUGGCCACCAAGUCCCUCCCCAGCCUCUUCUCUUGCCGUAUGUUCACACACUGCACUCUCUGCUCUGGCCAUAAUGACUUUCAGUUCCCCAAACCUAACUUUCUCUAGGAUUGCUGGGCCUUUGCCCACGCUGUUCUCUGCUUGGAACACCUUCCACUCUUCUUUUGGGUAACUCGAUGCCUUCUCCAGGUCUCACCUCAGCUGUCACUUACACAACCCCAUAGACAGGCUUAUCCCCAACCCUUGUCUGCAGCGUCCUCCAGGUGACUGUGUCUCCCAGGUGGGUAGCCCCUGAAGUAAUCCUCCACACUCCAUCACUGUCGGGCAGUUGGAAGGCUGGAGAGGUACGAUCCCCCAGAGUCGACCUAGAUCCUUGUGGCUUCAGCCCCCAACAGGUAGGGAGCCCACUAAGCUUCAGCUCUAGAGCAGAGACACAGACAAGGCUACUGGUGUGUGCAAAAUAUUGACUUGUGAAAAUUACAGUAUCCAAAACAUGAUUUUUUUCUAAAAGAGCUUUUAAAAUUUUGUUUUCUGAAAGUUAAAACCAGAAAAUUUGUGACAGGUUAAGGAUUUAAGGGGAUUUUUCAGUUAUGUGAUGUGAGGCUCUCUGUAGUUUUGUACCAACUAGAUUGUUCACUUCCUAAGAAUGAGGACCUCUCCUAUUCAUCUUUGUAAUAGGGACAGUGUCUUGCAGAUGAAAACAUCCAGUGACCCUACACUAGAGGAGAAGAAACUGGAACACAAAUUGAUUGAAUGUUCCCCAUGUGACAGAUUUAAUAAGGCUAAUGUUGGUGAAGUGGAGGCUGCGCAGGCAGUAAGAGGAUUCCCUUGUCUACUUGGAAGUGUUUAAUGCUCUAAUGCUUUCUAAGCAUGAGGCAUUUUCUUGAGCGCUGAAGCCUAGUAUCCUCAAAGCCCCCUUCAGGGAAACCUCAGUUCCUUGUCAGUCAAGGCCUGUCACUGGCUUUGCCUUGGCCUUCUCUGGGAGAAUGUCUGCUCCUUAAGUUGAUGGCAUACAUACUAUGCUCUUGGUGAAACAGAGUGAAGAGAGCCUAUGCAACUUAGGAAGAUCAUCAAGCAAACUAGGAUAAGCAUUACGGGAAUCCUAGAAGGAGCAAAGAAAGAAAAGGAAGAGAAAGCUUAUUUAAAUAAAUAAUGACAGAAACUUCCGAAAUCUGUAAAGGGAAAUGAAUGUCCAGAUCCAUGAGUCCCAAAGAGCCACAAAUAGACUAAAUGUAAAGAGAUUUCACCAAGAUACAUUAUAAUCAAAUUCUCAAAACUUAAAGAAGCAAUUUUGAAAGCAGCAAGAGAAAAGCAACUUGUCACACAUAGAAAACCCGUAAGACUGUCAAUAGGUUUCUCCGCAUAGCCCUUGAAGGCCAGGAGGGAGUGGGAUGAUAUAUUCAGAGUGUUGAAAGAAAACAACCAACCAAGAAUAUUAUACCAGGCAAGGCUCUCCUAUAGAAAUGGAGAAAGACUUUCCCAGACAAAAGCUCUGGGAGUUCAUCACCACUAGGCCACUUUACAAGAUCUGCUAGAAGGAGUUAUUCCAGUUGAAAUGAAAGGACGCUAACAUUAUGAAAACAUAUAAAAGUAGAAAACUCACUGUAAAGGUAAAAAUGUAGUCAAAUUCAGAAUACUACUACAGUGGUGGUGUGUAAAUCACUUUUAACUCUAGUAUAAAAGUUAAAAGACAAAGGUAUUAAAAAUAAUUGUUGCUAUAAUAAUUUGUAAGUGGAUACACAAUACAUAAAACA
This is a long non-coding RNA of Macaca mulatta (Rhesus monkey), 1825 nucleotides long. Lineage: Eukaryota; Metazoa; Chordata; Mammalia; Primates; Cercopithecidae. The record is from Ensembl.